UUUUUAAAUAGAUAAAAUAUAGGCCAAAGUUGACAAUAUUGUGUGAUAAGAGGUGACAUAUCCCUAUCAUUUAAGUGCAGUAGCUCUCUAGUUGACAGUAGACACAAAACAGUCAUCUGUAGGGAGAUACUAGUUGGUCACGUAGGCACGAAUAUAUCUGCACAUUUUCUAAUUGUUGUAACUCCCUUUUAUUGUUAUUUGGUAACACGGAAUACUACUAACUA
This is a long non-coding RNA of Sitophilus oryzae (rice weevil), 224 nucleotides long. RefSeq lists it as uncharacterized. NCBI's taxonomy places the organism in Eukaryota, Metazoa, Arthropoda, Insecta, Coleoptera, Curculionidae. The transcript has 2 exons. The record is from RefSeq and is a predicted model, not a curated record.